Molecule: long non-coding RNA, 290 nt
Filed under: Lathyrus oleraceus (garden pea)
Lineage: Eukaryota; Viridiplantae; Streptophyta; Magnoliopsida; Fabales; Fabaceae
Description: Pisum sativum (pea) long non-coding RNA (PSAT_LNC013527)
Source: RNAcentral
GUGUGUUUUUUUCAAAUGUUUUGUCCAUUGUUAUCUGGUGCAUUGAUCCAUUGGGUGAGCGCGUUUUGACUUUGAAUCCUGGCCAUGUGAUCAUCUCACUAGACUUAAGUAAUCAGAUCUAAUAGCUCUUGCUUUUUUACUUGUUUUAAUUUUGUUUUAAUUUCUUUUUUCUUCUAAAAUUAAAUAAAAUAGUUCCCUUAUUAUAUUUUUUUUCAUCCAAUUUUUUUUCCAUAAUUCCAUAAAAAUAUUGUCUACCUCAUGUCAUUUUUUUUUUCAUUUUUAAAAAUCAU